CCUACGGGUGGCAGCAGUGGGGAAUAUUGCACAAUGGGGGAAACCCUGAUGCAGCGACGCCGCGUGAGUGAAGAAGUAUUUCGGUACGUAAAGCUCUAUCAGCAGGGAAGAAAAUGACGGUACCUGACUAAGAAACCCCGGCUAACUAAGUGCCAGCAGCCGCGGUAAUACGUAGGGGGCAAGCGUUAUCCGGAUUUACUGGGUGUAAAGGGAGCGUAGACGGCAGCGCAAGUCUGGAGUGAAAUCCCAUGGCUUAACCAUGGAACUGCGUUGGAAACUGUGCAGCUAGAGUGCAGGAGAGGUAAGCGGAAUUCCUAGUGUAGCGGUGAAAUGCGUAGAUAUUAGGAGGAACACCAGUGGCGAAGGCGGCUUACUGGACUGUAACUGACGUUGAGGCUCGAAAGCGUGGGGAGCAAACAGGAUUAGAUACCCGGGUAGUC
Molecule: ribosomal RNA, 440 nt
Filed under: uncultured bacterium
Lineage: Bacteria
Description: partial 16S ribosomal RNA
Rfam family: Bacterial small subunit ribosomal RNA
Source: RNAcentral